RNAcentral lists this ribosomal RNA (433 nucleotides) under uncultured bacterium. Its description in RNAcentral is "partial 16S ribosomal RNA". It matches the Rfam family "Bacterial small subunit ribosomal RNA", at positions 29 to 507 of the family's 1533-position model. The record is from RNAcentral.
AACGAACGCUGGCGGCAUGCCUAACACAUGCAAGUCGAACGAGACCUUCGGGUCUAGUGGCGCACGGGUGCGUAACGCGUGGGAACCUGCCCUUAGGUUCGGAAUAACUCCCCGAAAGGGGUGCUAAUACCGGAUAUUGUCUUCGGACCAAAGAUUUAUCGCCUUUGGAUGGGCCCGCGUUGGAUUAGCUAGUUGGUAGGGUAAAAGCCUACCAAGGCGACGAUCCAUAGCUGGUCUGAGAGGAUGAUCAGCCACACUGGGACUGAGACACGGCCCAGACUCCUACGGGAGGCAGCAGUGGGGAAUAUUGGACAAUGGGCGAAAGCCUGAUCCAGCAAUGCCGCGUGAGUGAUGAAGGCCUUAGGGUUGUAAAGCUCUUUUACCCGGGAUGAUAAUGACAGUACCGGGAGAAUAAGCGCCGGCUAACUCCGUG